GACGUAGGUGGCGAACGUUAUCCGGAAUUAUUGGGCGUAAAGGGUGCGUAGGUGGCUUGACAAGUUAUCAGUGGCAAAUCGAGGCUUAACCUCGCGGAAACUGGUAAUACUGUUUGGCUCGAGUGCAGGAGAGGUUAGCGGAACUCUAUGUGGAGCGGUAAAAUGCACAGAUAUAUAGAAGAACACCAAUAACGGCGAAGGCAGUUAACUAUUCUGUUACUGACACUGAGGCACGAAAGCGUGGGGAGCAAAACGG
This 256-nucleotide ribosomal RNA is filed under the name uncultured bacterium. RNAcentral describes it as "partial 16S ribosomal RNA". It matches the Rfam family "Bacterial small subunit ribosomal RNA", at positions 524 to 776 of the family's 1533-position model. The record is from RNAcentral.